CGACCUAGGGAUCGAUCUGGAGGGACUUGGGGAGCGUGCAGAGACCUCUAGCUCGAGCGCGAGGGACCUCCCGCCGGGAUGCCUGGGAGCAGAUGGACCCUACUGGAAGUCAGUUGGAUUCAGAUUUCUCUCAGCAAGAUACUCCUUGCCUGAUAAUUGAAGAUUCUCAGCCUGAAAGCCAGGUUCUAGAGGAUGAUUCUGGUUCUCACUUCAGUAUGCUAUCUCGACACCUUCCUAAUCUCCAGACGCACAAAGAAAAUCCUGUGUUGGUGAGUGAUAC
This 280-nucleotide long non-coding RNA is filed under the name Homo sapiens (human). Its description in RNAcentral is "non-protein coding lnc-PPIP5K1-3:1". Lineage: Eukaryota; Metazoa; Chordata; Mammalia; Primates; Hominidae. The record is from RNAcentral.